RNAcentral lists this ribosomal RNA (433 nucleotides) under uncultured bacterium. Its description in RNAcentral is "partial 16S ribosomal RNA". It matches the Rfam family "Bacterial small subunit ribosomal RNA", at positions 29 to 507 of the family's 1533-position model. The record is from RNAcentral.
AACGAACGCUGGCGGCAUGCCUAACACAUGCAAGUCGAACGAGACCUUCGGGUCUAGUGGCGCACGGGUGCGUAACGCGUGGGAACCUGCCCUUAGGUUCGGAAUAACUCCCCGAAAGGGGUGCUAAUACCGGAUAAUGUCUUCGGACCAAAGAUUUAUCGCCUUUGGAUGGGCCCGCGUUGGAUUAGCUAGUUGGUAGGGUAAAAGCCUACCAAGGCGACGAUCCAUAGCUGGUCUGAGAGGAUGAUCAGCCACACUGGGACUGAGACACGGCCCAGACGCCUACGGGAGGCAGCAGUUGGGAAUAUUGGACAAUGGGCGAAAGCCUGAUCCAGCAAUGCCGCGUGAGUGAUGAAGGCCUUAGGGUUGUAAAGCUCUUUUACCCGGGAUGAUAAUGACAGUACCGGGAGAAUAAGCUCCGGCUAACUCCGUG